Molecule: long non-coding RNA, 559 nt
Organism: Peromyscus californicus insignis
Lineage: Eukaryota; Metazoa; Chordata; Mammalia; Rodentia; Cricetidae
Exons: 2
Source: RefSeq, a predicted model, not a curated record
GCAGCGCAGGAAGUUACGCUCCCUGCCGCAGAGAGAGAGGAAGGGGAAGGAGGCCUCGUAGCGCCCGCUCUGGUUAGGUCUCAGACGGGAGAAGAAGGUGACCAGGAACUGCAGGUCUGUGGGAACAAAGGGCGCGACUGUACACGCUCGGCCCGAGCUCCCUGCGACCUCGCCAAGGCUGGAGCCAAGUUGCGCAGUGACCUGCAAGGAGGCCACAUCCUUCCACACCGGAAACAGGUCACAUAGACGGUCCAGCGCCUGGUGCUUUGGGUUCCGGCGGUAGCACGUGUUCGGCGGGGCGGGGCAGCCCCGCCCCGGGGAGGAGCCACAGGGUGGACCCCGCCCCCACCCCGCCCUUCCCUGCGUCGAAGUAACCGAGGCACAGGCUGUGAGUGUGCAUUUGAACUUUAUUCACACCGAGCGCUGUCACCUCUGUCCACACGUCGGAGGGAGCGCCUGCGGACGCCGAAGAGGUCCAGGAUCCGCCCCAGAGGGCUACGGGCCUCGGCAAGGCGGGACUUUUGUUUUUAAUAAAUAAAAACAACUCUAAAAAUAUAUA